AGUCGUAACAAGGUAUCCGUAGGUGAACCUGCGGAUGGAUCAUUAACAAAGGUGUAUUUGAAGUUGUGUGAACAGUUGGAGGUGGUGGUGGUGGUGGUAUUGGGUGGUACUGGGUGGUAUUGGGUGGUAUUGAGUGGUGUAACCUUGGUCUAACCUUGGUCAACCUCACUCAACCUCACUCUCCCAACCUCACUCUCCCAACCUCCACCACUCCGUCCCUAUAAUGUAUACAAACUGAUGUCUGCUAGUUUCAAACUAAAACAACUUUUAGCAACGGAUCUCUUGGCUCUC
This 291-nucleotide unclassified non-coding RNA is filed under the name fungal sp. Its description in RNAcentral is "partial internal transcribed spacer region". The stretch from base 1 to 45 matches the Rfam family "Eukaryotic small subunit ribosomal RNA", at positions 1787 to 1831 of the family's 1831-position model. Lineage: Eukaryota; Fungi. The record is from RNAcentral.